RNAcentral lists this long non-coding RNA (706 nucleotides) under Junco hyemalis (dark-eyed junco). RNAcentral describes it as "lncRNA (ENSJHYG00000010456.1)". The record is from RNAcentral. Lineage: Eukaryota; Metazoa; Chordata; Aves; Passeriformes; Passerellidae.
CAACAGAACUGUAAUUCCCUCCAGGUCCAGAUCACUACUGAGCAUGCAUUGCUCCUUCCCUUCUCCAAGAGAAGACUGCUGAACAAAAACUGCACCUGGAGAAUAUGGAGGGUGACAUCCGUCACAUUCAAGCAGCAACUUGCAGCAGUUUGCUCUAAACCCCAUUUUGUGAGUAAGUGCUGCAGGUGAAGAUCAAAGCACUCUUCAAGUGGGUUCUGGGUCAUGCACAGGCACAAAGCUGAGAGGGGGGAGGUCUUCCCAACAUUUACAGGUAAUGAUGCUUGACUUGCUCUGCAGCGUGCAGAGGAGUCUGGUGAAUGUUAGGGCUGUUUGGCAGAGAGGAAGUGACUGCACCGCUGACACUGUCCAGGGCUUCAUCAGCUUUGGAAGAGCCCCAUGGGACUAUUUCACUCAGAAUUUCACACAAUGAGAAGGAAAGAAGAUAGAGACAUCAGAAUUAAGGAUUGAAUGUUUAAGGGAUUCUGUUCAGCAACUGGGCUUAUUUUAAGCCUUAGUGCUGACAUUGUCAGAGCUAAAAAAAAAAAAAAAAAGUAUUAAAAAAAUCAGCUGCUGAAAGUUCUUUAAGGCUCAGAAUUGGGAUAAAUGACAUUUCUGCUAUGUUGCAAACUGUGUCAGAAAAGGAGGACGUUGCCUUGCUUUGAGUGUAUUCUAAACUAAAAGCCAUAAAGAAACUAUUGUGCUUGGG